UACGUAGGGUGCAAGCGUUGUCCGGAAUUAUUGGGCGUAAAGAGCUCGUAGGCGGUCUGUCGCGUCGGAUGUGAAAACCCAGGGCUCAACCCUGGGCCUGCAUUCGAUACGGGCAGACUAGAGUUCGGUAGGGGAGACUGGAAUUCCUGGUGUAGCGGUGAAAUGCGCAGAUAUCAGGAGGAACACCGGUGGCGAAGGCGGGUCGCUGGGCCGACACUGACGCUGAUGCGCGAAAGCCAGGGGAGCGAACGGG
RNAcentral lists this ribosomal RNA (253 nucleotides) under uncultured bacterium. RNAcentral's name for it is "partial 16S ribosomal RNA". It matches the Rfam family "Bacterial small subunit ribosomal RNA", at positions 524 to 776 of the family's 1533-position model. The record is from RNAcentral.